RNAcentral lists this ribosomal RNA (468 nucleotides) under uncultured bacterium. RNAcentral's name for it is "partial 16S ribosomal RNA". It matches the Rfam family "Bacterial small subunit ribosomal RNA", at positions 28 to 507 of the family's 1533-position model. The record is from RNAcentral.
GACGAACGCUGGCGGCGUGCUUAAUACAUGCAAGUCGAACGGAAAGGCCCUGCUUUUGUGGGGUGCUCGAGUGGCGAACGGGUGAGUAACACGUGAGUAACCUGCCCUUGACUUUGGGAUAACUUCAGGAAACUGGGGCUAAUACCGGGUAGGAGCUCCUGCUGCAUGGUGGGGGUUGGAAAGUUUCGGCGGUUGGGGAUGGACUCGCGGCUUAUCAGCUUGUUGGUGGGGUAGUGGCUUACCAAGGCUUUGACGGGUAGCCGGCCUGAGAGGGUGACCGGCCACAUUGGGACUGAGAUACGGCCCAGACUCCUACGGGAGGCAGCAGUGGGGAAUAUUGCACAAUGGGCGGAAGCCUGAUGCAGCAACGCCGCGUGCGGGAUGACGGCCUUCGGGUUGUAAACCGCUUUCGCCUGUGACGAAGCGUGAGUGACGGUAAUGGGUAAAGAAGCACCGGCUAACUACGUG